UUAAAGCUUAUAUAGUCUCAGUGUUAUCUACAGCAAAUCCCAGUGGACACAGUGCAAUUCGAUGUAGGCUCACAGACGUUAGAGGCCAGUGCGUGCUCGUGAGGCCACUGCUUGUUACUUUCACCAUUUGUGUAUGCCUGAUAUUCAAACGGGACGUAUCCUUACGAAUAGACCUACAGUGGAAAACACUUUGUGUAUUACUUACACGAACGGAAAGUGGAAAGGUUAUAACUGUCUUAGGACGCGGAAAAGUUUGACAUAUCAGCCGAAACAACACGUCGUUGGAAUAACGAAUUUGUAAACAUAUUUAUUCCAGAGAUUCAGACAUAGUAACAGUUCCUUUUUAUACCAGUGAAUAAUUUACGGAAUUAUCAGAGUCACGUGGUGCUUCGAUGACAGGUGUGUCCAGAACGCAAGGCCGUUGUUGUUCAAUGUCGACAGUCUUUGUUCCCUGUGGGCUAUCAGUUCAAAUUCAAGAGAUAGUGUAUAUGUGUGUUUAAAGUAACUUAUCUUAAUCAUUAUAAUAUUUUAUUGACUAGUACAGACUAGCAAUACGUGGGGCUAUGAUUUGUAGCUUUUCUGACGUGACCCAGAUGGGUAAGAGAUAUUGCCCUAUUCGCCAAAUAAUUAGGGUAACCAAAUUAAGGAGGACGAGACUGGCAGGGCAUAUAGCACGCAGGAAGUGAGAGAAGAAUACAUAGAAAAUUUCAUCCAAGCAAUAAACCUGUUGGCUCCAUAAAAUACUGAGAAUUUGUUUGCCAACAGUCAGUGGGCUUACAGAUGGCGGUCCAUGGUUUAAUUUACGCAGAGGUCAUACUGCCUCCGUCAUCAGGGC
Zootermopsis nevadensis is the source of this 835-nucleotide non-coding RNA. Lineage: Eukaryota; Metazoa; Arthropoda; Insecta; Blattodea; Termopsidae. The record is from RefSeq and is a predicted model, not a curated record.